GACUCCCCAUGGGGCAAGGCAGCCCCUCUGGCCCUUAUACCUGACCGGGGAAGUACGAAAGCAUGGGGGCGCAACCGGAUUAGAUACCCGGGUAGUCCAUCCCGGAAAACGGUGUCUCCUAGCCGUGGGGCCUUUGAGGCUUUAGUGGCGCAGCUAACCGCGAUAAAGUAGACCGCCUGGGGGAGUACGGUCGCAGGACUAACACUCAAAUGAAUUGCCGGGGGGGCCCGCCCAAGCGGGUGGAGCAUGUGGUUUAAUUCGAUGCAACGCGAAGAACCUUACCUGGUCUUGACAUAGUAAGAACUUUCCAGAGAUGGAUUGGUGCCUUCGGGAACUUACAUACAGGUGCUGCAUGGCUGUCGUCAGCUCGUGUCGUGAGAUGUUGGGUUAAGUCCCGCAACGAGCGCAACCCUUUUCCUUAUUUGCCAGCACUUCGGGUGGGAACUUUAAGGAUACUGCCAGUGACAAACUGGAGGAAGGCGGGGACGACGUCAAGUCAUCAUGGCCCUUACGACCAGGGCUACACACGUGCUACAAUGGUCGGUACAAAGGGUUGCUACCUAGCGAUAGGAUGCUAAUCUCAAAAAGCCGAUCGUAGUCCGGAUUGGAGUCUGCA
This 616-nucleotide ribosomal RNA is filed under the name Acinetobacter sp. R213(2010). RNAcentral describes it as "bacterial SSU rRNA". It matches the Rfam family "Bacterial small subunit ribosomal RNA", at positions 703 to 1309 of the family's 1533-position model. The record is from RNAcentral. Lineage: Bacteria; Pseudomonadati; Pseudomonadota; Gammaproteobacteria; Moraxellales; Moraxellaceae.